This 468-nucleotide ribosomal RNA is filed under the name uncultured bacterium. RNAcentral's name for it is "partial 16S ribosomal RNA". It matches the Rfam family "Bacterial small subunit ribosomal RNA", at positions 28 to 507 of the family's 1533-position model. The record is from RNAcentral.
GACGAACGCUGGCGGCGUGCUUAACACAUGCAAGUCGAACGGAAAGGCCCUGCUUUUGUGGGGUGCUCGAGUGGCGAACGGGUGAGUAACACGUGAGUAACCUGCCCUUGACUUUGGGAUAACUUCAGGAAACUGGGGCUAAUACCGGAUAGGAGCUCCUGCUGCAUGGUGGGGGUUGGAAAGUUUCGGCGGUUGGGGAUGGACUCGCGGCUUAUCAGCUUGUUGGUGGGGUAGUGGCUUACCAAGGCUUUGACGGGUAGCCGGCCUGAGAGGGUGACCGGCCACAUUGGGACUGCGAGACGGACCAGACUCCUACGGGAGGCAGCAGUGGGGAAUAUUGCACAAUGGGCGGAAGCCUGAUGCAGCAACGCCGCGUGCGUGAUGACGGCCUUCGGGUUGUAAACCGCUUUCGCCUGUGACGAAGCGUGAGUGACGGUAAUGGGUAAAGAAGCACCGGCUAACUACGUG